UGGGGAAUAUUGGACAAUGGGGGCAACCCUGAUCCAGCCAUGCCGCGUGUGUGAAGAAGGCCUUUUGGUUGUAAAGCACUUUAAGCAGUGAAGAAGACUUCAUGGUUAAUACCCAUGGACGAUGACAUUAGCUGCAGAAUAAGCACCGGCUAACUCUGUGCCAGCAGCCGCGGUAAUACAGAGGGUGCAAGCGUUAAUCGGAAUUACUGGGCGUAAAGCGAGCGUAGGUGGCUUGAUAAGUCAGAUGUGAAAGCCCCGGGCUUAACCUGGGAACGGCAUCUGAUACUGUUAGGCUAGAGUAGGUGAGAGGAAGGUAGAACUCCAGGUGUAGCGGUGAAAUGCGUAGAGAUCUGGAGGAAUACCGAUGGCGAAGGCAGCCUUCUGGCAUCAUACUGACACUGAGGUUCGAAAGCGUGGGUAGCAAACAG
Molecule: ribosomal RNA, 428 nt
Filed under: uncultured bacterium
Lineage: Bacteria
Description: bacterial SSU rRNA
Rfam family: Bacterial small subunit ribosomal RNA
Source: RNAcentral